Molecule: ribosomal RNA, 97 nt
Filed under: Helicobacter pylori
Lineage: Bacteria; Pseudomonadati; Campylobacterota; Epsilonproteobacteria; Campylobacterales; Helicobacteraceae
Also listed under: 5 other names
Source: RNAcentral
UAGAGAAGAGGAACUACCCAGUUAACCAUUCCGAACCUGGAAGUCAAGCUCUUCAUCGCUGAUAAUACUGCUCUUUUCAAGAGUGGGAAUGUAGGUC